UAGUCAUAUGCUUGUCUCAAAGAUUAAGCCAUGCAUGUCUAAGCACAAGCCGAUUAAUGGUGAAGCCGCGAAUGGCUCAUUACAACAGCCAUAGUUUCUUAGAUCUUACUUUUCUACUUGGAUAACUGUGGUAAUUCUAGAGCUAAUACACGCAAACAAGCUCAGACCUUACGGAAUGAGCGCAUUUAUUAGAACAAAAACCAAUCGGGCUUCGGUCCGUCAUUUGGUGAAUCUGAAUAACUUUGCUGAUCGCACGGUCUUCGUACCGGCGACAUAUCUUUCAAAUGUCUGCCUUAUCAACUUUCGAUGGUGGUUUAUGCGCCUACCAUGGUUGUAACGGGUAACGGAGAAUAAGGGUUCGACUCCGGAGAGGGAGCCUGAGAAACGGCUACCACAUCCAAGGAAGGCAGCAGGCACGCAAAUUACCCACUCCCGGCACGGGGAGGUAGUGACGAAAAAUAACGAGACGGCUCGCUAUGCGGUCCGUCAUCGGAAUGGGUACAAUUUAAAUCCUUUAACGAGGAUCUAUU
RNAcentral lists this ribosomal RNA (530 nucleotides) under uncultured eukaryote. Its description in RNAcentral is "SSU rRNA". It matches the Rfam family "Eukaryotic small subunit ribosomal RNA", at positions 21 to 549 of the family's 1831-position model. The record is from RNAcentral.